UAGCGUAUAUUAAAGUUGUUGCAGUUAAAAAGCUCGUAGUUGAAUUUCGGGAUCAANNCCNUCGGUCGUGCCUCCGGUANGNACUGGNGUCGUUGGUUNCUCCUUUCUGAGGANNCANGAUGCCAUUAANUUGGUGUNGUGGGGAAUCAGGACUGUUACNUUGAAAAAAUUAGAGUGUUUAAAGCAGGCACNCGCUUGAAUACAUUAGCAUGGAAUAAUGAAAUAGGACGUUCGANNCUAUUUUGUUGGUUUCUAGGAUCAACGUAAUGAUUAAUAGGGAUAGUUGGGGGCAUUAGUAUUCAAUUGUCAGAGGUGAAAUUCUUGGAUUUAUUGAAGACUAACUACUGCGAAAGCAUUUGCCAAGGAUGUUUUCAUUAAUCAAGAACGAAAGUUAGGGGAUCGAAGACGAUCAGAUACCGUCGUAGUCUUAACCAUAAACUAUGCCGACUAGGGAUCGGAU
Molecule: ribosomal RNA, 460 nt
Filed under: uncultured Glomeromycotina
Lineage: Eukaryota; Fungi; Glomeromycota
Description: partial 18S ribosomal RNA
Rfam family: Eukaryotic small subunit ribosomal RNA
Source: RNAcentral